Long non-coding RNA from Felis catus (domestic cat), 7102 nucleotides. RefSeq lists it as uncharacterized. The transcript is spliced from 2 exons. Lineage: Eukaryota; Metazoa; Chordata; Mammalia; Carnivora; Felidae. The record is from RefSeq and is a predicted model, not a curated record.
UUUAUUUUAUUUCAUUUCAUUUCAUUUCCUUCCUUUCCUAUCAUUUUUUACUUCCUAAUUCAGCUACCUUUUGGCAUUUAUUGUAAUCAUCAUUCGGUGUGACAAUUUGGAUAUGGUAUUUGUUCAUACUUCCUGCUGUGUGUGUCUCUUCCCUGCCGAGGUCAUUAACUUUGUGAACACAGAAGCUGUGUCUUGCACUUUUUUUUUUUUUUGAAGCAACACCGAUGUUGAUGGUCUUCAGAUGUUUACUUAGACCUGAUUCAUUUUAUAGGAAAGGCAGGUGACUUUACAGGGAAGAGGCAGGAAGACACAGGCGUUCCUCACGUACUGCGCAGAAUUACUGGUACAUAUGUGGGCUGGGAGUUGCUACGAAAGCCUAAAAGUCUUCUUCCCUCCUGGGAUCCAGAAACGUCUGGUCGUCUGGGAUCAACUAGUGAAAAGUGACCGUCAGGAACGUACUCUUACCAGGAGCAAAGGAACCUGGGAGCAAAGGGCGUCUGUGAGAAGAGAACAAAGGUGUUCCGUUCUGCCCCUUCACCAACCCAUGGACGGAGUUGGACAGCAGGGCCAUGAGUAAUCCACCAUGACGGGAGAAGAAAAUGGAAUGUAACUCUGGGCCUGUGUGACACUCAACGUUGAGUCGAGUUAGUUCAUCCUGAUUAACAUGGGUUGCCUCAGAAGCCAAUACAUCAGUCAUCGCCUCUGGCCGCAACUGUGCUCACGACGAGAGAAGUCCCAGGACCACUUCUGAAGGGGUUGUUUAAAUCCCUGGAAUGGAAAAAUAGCUUGUGACCUUGCGAUCCUACAGAAUUUCCACCCUCUCCACCCACAGCUGGGGGCUGCGGUGGGAGCCCUGCACGUGCUCUUCUGGAUGACGGUCCUGCUGUCCCUCAGGACCCGGGCGGCAGUGAGCAGGCUGCUCUCUGGUGUGCAUGGCUUCUGAAAGGGCAGGACCACAGCCUGCACUUGAGACGCCCAUCGUAGCCUCAAACUUCAGGGGAUCGCCAAAAGCCUCCGUAAGAAGGACGGGUAUUUUCAAAACUCCGAACAAAGGCCAAAAAUUUAUGAUGGACAAAAUGCCUACCUUCUAAAUGAAGCCAGGAUUGAUUUCUUGAUUUUAACUUUUGCCUGAAGCCCUGCCAUAGCUCCUCAUUGUCCUGCCAAGGGGGACCAAUCUCCUUUCCAGGGAUUACGUGACGCAGACUUCCUGUCUGAAGUUUGUGGUCUCCAGAAGCGUGCGGUGCUUCACCGUCCGUACUGUGCAUCAGAGUCACCUGGAAGGCUUGGGGGAGCACAGAUUGCUCAACCCCAAGUCUAGAAUUGCUGAUUUAGCAGGUCUGGGUGACAGGGCUCCUGCUGAUGUAGGGACCACAUGUAAGAACUAUCAUGGUGACAGCUCUCUGGAUAAUAAGCCAAUAGUACCCAUAACAGGAGCUCAUUUAAAGGAAAAUGCUUUUGGUCACUGAGUGAGUAAAUGAAAUGUCCUAGAGCCAAGGUCAGCCGGCAAGUAUACUGAGGGGCAUAUUGAAGAGGAAUCUCUUAUCCUUUGUCUUUUUAAGGGGCGCUUUAUCGCUCACGUUGGGUGGGCUCAGCUCUCUGUUGCUCGUGACAAGGUGACAUAUUUGAGGCAGAUGUUGGGGUCACUGGGGCUCUGAUGUCCAUUUCCAUGCUCCAGGGGCAGGGCACAAGCACAAAAGAGGUUCAAUUUCAGUUUGGUUCCAGAGGCCUCUGUUCUGUCCUCCACCCAUCACCCAUUCUUAGCAUCCUUGACUGGAAUGCCACCCAGUCUGUUCCUAUAGUGAUGCCACUGGGACCCGGCCUCCUCAGCCCCUCUCAGAGAUGGGUGGGAGUGAAGGUAAGAGGCCUUUUGGCCCAUGAAGCCCUGUGUGAACAAACCCCUCCCCCUCCACCCCCACCCCCCCACCCCUCAACCUACUGCUUAACUCUACUCAGUUUCCAUUUCCUUCCUCUGGCUAAGGACACCUGGACUUUCCUCUGGGGAACCCCUCUAAGGCCAGCUCUAGGUAGGGGCCUGACCACUCCAGAGCAACAGUGACUGCUUCAGGGAUGGUCACAUGACUUCUCUGGGCCAAUAAGAGCCUGUCUUGGGAUUUUCGAGUCAAGCAAAAGGAUGUUUUGACAGCUAGCCAUGGGUUAGGGGCUAAAUUUCCCAACUCAUUUCCCGAGUCAUUGCUCCCAAUGGAAAACCCAUUGUGCAGGCUUUAUUGAGAGCCGUCCCCAAGGUGCAUCAGUCAGGGGACCCAGCAAGGGGUUAUUUACAGUUGUGUACACUUUAAAUAAUGGUCUGCUUUUGAUUUAGUCUGACAGUCCAUGAUUCUGUGACACAGCACAACCUCAAAAUGAUCAAUGAAAUUAGGUAGAAAGGUCGAGGCAUGAAUUCGGGAAGGUGAGAAGAUAUUAGCCUUACUGCUGUUUCAAAAUUUCUGUUCUUUCUCCUUAGAUGGCUAGCUGCAAGUCAGUUAGGCAGUGGACUUCUGUUGUUAGGUUUUCUAUUAUAGCACUGCAGAGAAUGGAUGUAACUCUGUGACAGUCAUCCUGGAAAGGAGGCAGAUAUCCAUUUGCUAUCAGCAAGCAAAUUCAGAAGAAGGCAGGAAAAAUAGACAAAAAUACUCAGUUCUUUCCCCCCCACGCUUACCUCUUUUUUCCACCCCCACCCCCAUUUGGAGGAAGGCACAACUUUUCUGAAUCCUGAGGCUUUCUGUGGACCCCAAGAAUUCCAGAAAGAAAGAAUAGGGAGUUGGAAGAAGCACUGGAGAAGCGUCCGGGGAGUCGUCUGGUGCUAUAGUUGUUCAUGCACAGGCUGCAGGUGUUAGUGAAGAUGUGAAUUUGACAUAAUGCGAAGUUGCAGUCAAGGAAUGGAGCCAGUAAAUGAAAAAUGGUGGAGAUCCAGGAAGUACUGUCUUCUCCAUGUCACAGCUCUGUUCCCUGCUGUACAUCUGCCUUGUGUUUCUACUUCUGCAGAUUGGUAGAUAAACGUACCUUCACUUCCAAUGUGAUCAGCUGCAUCCAAGGAAACAGUCCAGGCUGAUGCUAUAGUAGCUUCAUUCCCAUUUUUGCUCUGGAGGAGGGUCGUCUGAUUGGCCCAGAUUCCUGCCGGUGUCCAACCUGAGCCAUCAUUUGGGUGUCUUCACCUCACGACUUCAGUGGAUAAAACGUAUAGACAGAUGGGCAAUUCUUGGUCCUUAGGCUUGGAAGAUCCUCCAAAAUCAUCCCCCACACUGGAUGAGCACCUGGCAAAAAUUUUUGUGACAAUCAGGCAUCAGAUGUGAUUUUCAAGCAAAUGACCUUGCAAGUCUCCUCUGAUGCCACUCUAACAACAUGGCGGACAAGGAAAAUUGAAGGGAGCGCAAGAGGAGAGGACAGCACUAGGGUUGUGCCUACCUUAGUGACAUGUUGAAGAUUAAUUCCAUGUUUUAGUAAGAGCUUGAAAGAUGAAAGGGGCUGGAAACGGUUUUGCAUCUUUCCUACCAAUUCCUGGGAAUGUAGGCUGAGAGAGGAAUUUGUUUCAGGGCUGUGAUUUGUAACAACAUUCACUUUAAAACUGCCUUCGCUGUGUGUUACAGGGUAUCUUUCACCUCAGAGGAAACUCAUAUAAGGCCAAGAAAUUGGAUCUCUGAAGGGAGAGGUAACGAGGUUUUAGGAUUACCAAGUGGCCCCGGGUUAAGCUCACCGUACUCACUCGAUAUGUAACCAAUCCUUCACAGAUGGGGUGUCGGGGCUGGAACGGUCCCUGGAAGCGAUCUGGUCUCCCUCAUUUUACAGUUGAGGAACUGAGAGCCUGGAACUCAGUGCUGUCAUAAGGGUCUUAUUGUGCUCAUUUGGAUCAUAGAAAGCACAGGAAAUCUCUCUACAUGGUGUGAUUUGGGGGAUUCUGGGAAGCCCAUUCUCAGCGACUUGAAAAUAUCUUAGGUACUAGGCUGUUACCCAUGCUAGGAAAGUUAAGUAAUUCUUAACUUUCCAUUAGGCACUACUUGCUACUGCACAUCCUCUUGUAACAUGGAAGUAUUUGGAAGACAGACACGAGAUGGAUUUAGCAACCAUGGAGGCGUUUAUUGAAACAAUGAAGGAGAUGGACUCGGAAGUCACACAAAUGGGAGACUGAGUCUCCACUCUCCCACUCACACACUGUGGGGCUUCUUACAAAUUAUUUCCACCUGGGAGUGUCAGUUUUAUCAUCUGUAAAGUGGGAAAACAGAGUAUCUGUCUCAUAGGAUGGAUAGGAUUACAUGAAAUAUGGUGCAAACCCUGACCUGAAUCAGCACUGAGUAAAUAACGUGCGAAUGGUGAGCACCGAAUAAAUAGAAGGCACUGUCCUCAUCAUCACCACUGGGGUCCUCAUCAUUUCUGGACAUGUGUCUACUUGAAACAGUGUCUUCCCAGGGAAGGAUGGGUCUUCCUGGAGCAAGACAUAAGAGGAACAGGACAUAAGAAGGAAAGCAGGAGCAGACAAGAUCUGGGGCGUCAAAGGCAAACCUCAUACUUCAUAGUUAGGCGGAUGAUCAGUUCCGGCUUAUGUAUUGGCCAAACCAAGAUGCUUAUGGAUUCAUGGCUCAAGAAUUAAAAUGUACAUCCCUGAGUUCAAGAAAUCCUCAGUGAUGGUUACACUGAUAUCAAAGUCACCACCAGUCACAUUCCAAGCCCUUGAUUCUUAAGAGGUCUUUCAAAAAGAAAACAAUACAUGACCAAUGGAAGCAAAAGUGGCUGUAUGUUCUUUUCACUGUUUUGACCUCGUUUUUCAUUUUGAGCGUAGAAAGUUUUGAGAGGCUCUUGGAUUCACUUUUAGCCAAGGAUACGAGGACUUAUGAAAUGGCCCUGUGUCAACUGCGUCUGACUUUGGGAGCUACAGAUAAUUCCUGAGGCCGGUCUGAGGUCAGUUCCUCAACGUGUCAUGGAACCCAACUGACCAAUGCUGGUGUUGACGUUAACGCACCUUAUUUAUUUAGUAUUUGCUGACUCGUGUAGUCAACAAACUUUUAUGAUCUACACAACCCUAAACGUGGCUUCAAUCAGUUUUGCAGUGUGUUCUGGGCUUUCCCGCUGGAGCACGAGGUCUGCAAUUGUAAGCCCCCCAUGAGGCAAACCGCUACAUCCUUCUCUGCUGCAUUUUCUUCCUGUAGGUCCAACUACUUCCAGAAUUUCCAAAAAGGUAAUUGUGCACAGAGGGCAUUCAAAAAUGAUGGAGCUUGUUUUAUUUCUAGCUCCCUCGUGGUUCUUACCACCCUCUGUGUUUCCCAAACCCAGGGAGCUCCUGUAUUUCUCAACAUCGAUGUGACUCCUUUUGCUCCUUUAGCAGAGUCUAUAAGUGGAGGUGGACUGAAUGACCUCACCUAGGGCCCUUGCCUCAAGCUUAUACCCUGAUCUUGGUACUCUAGACUUGGCUAUCUCUUAGUGAGAAAAGAAAAGGCAAAGGAAUGGAGAAAGAGAAGAUUAUUUAUUUAUAUUCUCUGUGAGAGCCAGUAAAAGCGUUCUAAGAUAUGUUCUCCACGUCUUCUCUCCUAGAUCCUGUGCUGGUCCUUGUAGGCACUUGUAGGCAUUCCAGGUGUCCACUGUAGGCAGAGUCAUAUCUUUCCAUCUUGGUCAAAUGUGAACAAAACAUAGUUGAGAACAUAAGGCAAUCCACAAGAGAGCCCAGUAAGCAUUGCUCAGUUGUGAUAGUAAAAUCCUUGUUUUUCCUGCUAGAAGACCGCUCCCAAGGUACAGGGUCCGCUAUUGUUCCUGGAAGGCCAUUCAGUUAUUGACUCAUACAGAGGCCUUUUUCUUACAUGGGAGAGGUGACGAGGUUGACAGAGUGUACAGAGAAAGAAUUGAGUUUACCCUCAGAUUGCAUCCUUGACCUAUUUAAGAGCAUCAGGUGAGAAGGAGAGACAGUGGGUUGACAGUGAGUUGUGACCAGGUGAUGAGGGCUUUGUGAAGCUUGCUCAGGAGGCUGGACUCCAUCCUACAUGCCAUGAAUGGAAGCCCAUGGGCAGUGUCUAUGGACAGGAGUGACAUGUUCGAGAAGGAUGAUCUUGCCAAGAGAAGUUUACUUUGGUGAAUUACAUCAAUGAAAAUGACCCCUUUAAUUUAGGCUGUAGAAGCCACAAUACUCCAAUUGGCAGGUACUCCGAGAUUCAGUAGCUGAGUUGCUGGGUCCUCCAGUAGAGACGACCUUACCUAUCCAUCAUGCCACCAAGGAACCUGAAGUUGUACAUCAGGAGAAUCCGUGGCAAAGUGGAAAAUGUACUAGGCCUGGGGGAAUGUGAAUUUAAGCCCUAGCUCUACUAUUUAUUCCCUUCAUGACUGGAAUCAAGUCCCUUAAAAUUCCUGGGUCUCAGGUUUCUCACCUGCUAAGGGAAGAUAAAACCUGCCCUAUAACACUUAGCUGUUGUGUGAAUAAACGAGAUAAUCAAGUGAAAAUGCUCGAUCAUUGGAGUACGGAUGAAAGCCUGUGUGUGUCAGCUCCGACUUCUGGCUUGUUACUUUAUCAGUGAAAUCAAAUAGCCUUUCAUUCAGUCUUCUGUGGAUUCUUUGGACUACAAAGGUUUGUUGUCGAGAGCUAAAGACUGAUUACCUUCUGUGCGAGGUUUAUGAGACUUUCACAAAGCAGUCCCAGCAAGAGAAGUCACUAGCUCAGUAAUCACUGUAGACUCUUGAUUCCUCUAAGGUGCACAUUUUCCCACUAUUCCCCUUCCCCAUUCCAUCUCCCUUCCAAUCCUCUAGUAAUGACUUCCAACCGUGUGGCUCGAAUAGGACCUGUCGUAUGUCUUGAACAGGUGGGCAGGUGCAACACGAAGGGGGUGUCUGAAGCAUUCCCUUCAACAUGUCAAAUGUGAACCAGGAGGAGGAGAACCUUCUGGGUGGCAUUGGCUGGUGCUGAGAGCAUUGUGAGGGUAAGGGUCACAGUGCAUGACAAGUGGCCAACAUGCAGAGAGAGGCAGAUGUGGUUUCAGGAUGAAACUCCCACUGGUCACCACUCUUAAGGAAAGCCACAUUCAUCCUUUCUUUCCUAUGAUCUGCCUCACAAACCUGUCACUCUUUUAGUCUUGGUCUCAGUAGCAUUAAAUUUCGUCAUUUGCGAAUAAAAAUAUUCCUUUCCUCUAUC